GUUACGGAGCUGCCCUGAACUGAGAGCAGCGUUGGCGGGGGGCUAGGGAGCCGGGCUGUUCCACGCUCACUGCGCGCCUCGGGCGGCGGGGCUCGGGCUCUGUCCGAGGUGCUGAACUCCGGGGCUCCGGCCGCGCCGGCAGAGUGUGCCAGCGUCCAUUAUUGCCAGUGUCUGUGGGCAUCUUCCAGAAGGCCGAGCAUGGGGGUCAGGUGAAACCAGGGCGCCAUGAAUAUCAAUUAUUACAGAAAUGAAAAGGGAUCCUGCACCCAAAUUCAAAUCAAGCAAGUUCACCUAGAGGUUGCAGUGGGGUGGAGGGCCCAGAUCUGGGCUGUUUGGAUCUCUCUGCAGGAUGAAAGGGAUUUCCUGGACCUGGCUUUGCUGUCCCUUGUUCCUUUUGCCUGCACAGUGGCAGCAGCUGUGGCCAGAGGGACACAGUGGGCACAGAGGCCCAGGGAGAGGAGCAGAGGCCAGCAGGAAACAGCAAAUGCAGAGGCCCAAAGUGACCAGGACACUGUCCUUGUGCACAC
RNAcentral lists this long non-coding RNA (527 nucleotides) under Pan troglodytes (chimpanzee). RNAcentral's name for it is "lincRNA". Lineage: Eukaryota; Metazoa; Chordata; Mammalia; Primates; Hominidae. The record is from RNAcentral.